Long non-coding RNA from Salvia splendens (bonfire salvia), 1606 nucleotides. RefSeq lists it as uncharacterized. The record is from RefSeq and is a predicted model, not a curated record. The transcript is spliced from 3 exons. NCBI's taxonomy places the organism in Eukaryota, Viridiplantae, Streptophyta, Magnoliopsida, Lamiales, Lamiaceae.
AUUACCUUUUCAUCGAUCAUUUUCAUCUACAAUAUUUAAUGUCGCGGUCUUCGUCUUGCUUGAAGAAGAUGCACCAAUCUACAAUAUUUAAUGGAGGCGGCGUCAUCCCUGCCAAGAGUCUCCGAUUCCUCGAAUCCCAGCUCCAGAAAUUGGACGGCCAAGAUGCUAGAAUUGCAGACUACUUUGAUGUAAUUGCAGGGACGAGCACCCGGAGGGCUGGUGACGGCCAUGUUGACUGCCCCCGAUGCUAAUAACCGCCCUAUUUAUGCAGCUAAAGAUAUUGCUCAAUUUAAUGUACAACAUGGCCCUAAGAUCUUCCCAAAGAGGUUUCAUGUUGGAUUUUGUUACUACUCCUACUAAAUUGAUGAUGCUUGAUUGCAUGUGAAUUACUCCGCUUAGUAAUUUUGAGAUACUACUAUUAUACAUUAUUAGUAUUAAUAUAAUAUUAAUUGUAGUUGGCUUAGAUGUGGAUGGCUGCAUAUGUACGUCCCAGAUACGAUGGCAAGUGUCUGCAAAAGCUCACAAGGGAGAUUUUAGGGCAGGCUCGUUUGGAUCAAACCUUAACCAAUGUUGUUAUCCCAUCAUUCGAUAUCAACUAUAUGCAGCCUACCAUCUUCUCCUCCCACCAGGUCAUCUCGUCUAUCAAUCUAUCCCUUUGUUGAUGCAACAGGUGAAGAAUCUGGGUUACAAGGACGUGCUACUUUCGGACAUAUGCAUCGCCACCUCCGUUGCACCACUUUUUUUCCGCCCUAUAGUUUCACAAACAUCGAUGACUCCGGCCAGUCUUGGGGUCCAUGUCCUAAAAUAGUAGUGAAAAUAGAGUUAGUGGAUUAUGAGGUCCAUGUCCUAAAAUAGUAAGAUUCUAAAGUUUCUAUUUUUAAGGAAUGGCCGAGUAUUAGUUUUAACUUUUUAAGAUAGAACCAUAUUAGAUAGACGAAUGGGUAAGAUGGAAACACGAUAUUAUUCUUGCAGACGUUGGUGGCAGUGCGAGAAGUAACAAAAGAAGUGGUGAGCAGAAGCGAAGAUUUCUUCCCGAUUCAGCCUCUGGAAUGCGCAAAGCUGCUGGUGAUAUCGCUGAGCACGGGCUCUGCGAAGCAAGAGAUGGCAAAAAUGGCGUCGAAAUGGGGCAAGAUGCGCUGGGUCAAUUGUCGAAAGCUCACACCUAUAAUCGAUAUCUACUACCAAGCUAGCACAGAUAUGCUACAUUAUUUCUUAUCGGUAAUAUUCAAGGCACAAACUUCUCAUCUCCGCAUUCAGGCUGAAAAUUUAACCGGAGAUAGCUCAUCACGACGGAGGAGAAUCUGAACGAUCUAGUCGAAAUCGGGGAAUGUUUGUUACACUCUCCUUUCUCAAAGAGUUAAUCUGCAAACAGGAAAUUUUGAUCCUGUUGCUGACGGAGGCACAAAUCAUGACGUUUUGAUUAAGUUUACAAAAAUGCUCUCCGAUGAACAAAAAUUCCGGCAGUCGAAAUCACAGCACAAGAACUAGAAGGGACCUCAUAAUUGUUUUGUUACUGUAUCUUAUCUUUAUUCCAAAUCUAAUGUUUUGGUACUGUUAAAAUAAUUUGUGGACGUUUCCAAAUAUGUUGACUAUUUUUUGGUUUUAA